AUCCUUUUGUAGCUCAUAAAUGUGAUGAUUAUGUGUUCACGCCACUGUGUGACAUAUGCCGCCCUCAAACCUUGUUACGACCACGGCACAUUACCCAUUUGACG
Canis lupus familiaris (dog) is the source of this 104-nucleotide non-coding RNA. The record is from Rfam. Lineage: Eukaryota; Metazoa; Chordata; Mammalia; Carnivora; Canidae.